GACGAACGCUGGCGGCGUGCUUAACACAUGCAAGUCGAACGGAAAGGCCCUGCUCUUGUGGGGUGCUCGAGUGGCGAACGGGUGAGUAACACGUGAGUAACCUGCCCUUGACUUUGGGAUAACUUCAGGAAACUGGGGCUCAUACCGGAUAGGAGCUCCUGCUGCAUGGUGGGGGUUGGAAAGUUUCGGCGGUUGGGGAUGGAAUCGCGGCUUAUCAGCUUGUUGGUGGGGUAGUGGCUUACCAAGGGUUUGACGGGUAGCCGGCCUGAGAGGGUGACCGGCCACAUUGGGACUGAGAUACGGACCAGACGCCUACGGGAGGCAGAAGUGGAGAAUAUUGCACAAUGGGCGGAAGCCUGAGACAGAAGCGCCGCGUGCGGGAUGACGGCCUUCGGGGUGUAAACCGCUGUCGCCUGAGACGAAGCGGGAGUGACGGUAAUUGAUAAAGAAGCACCGGCUAACUACGUG
RNAcentral lists this ribosomal RNA (468 nucleotides) under uncultured bacterium. RNAcentral describes it as "partial 16S ribosomal RNA". It matches the Rfam family "Bacterial small subunit ribosomal RNA", at positions 28 to 507 of the family's 1533-position model. The record is from RNAcentral.